This 64-nucleotide transfer RNA is filed under the name Cavia porcellus (domestic guinea pig). It matches the Rfam family "tRNA". From Rfam's summary of the family: Transfer RNA (tRNA) molecules are approximately 80 nucleotides in length. Their secondary structure includes four short double-helical elements and three loops (D, anti-codon, and T loops). The record is from Rfam by way of RNAcentral. Lineage: Eukaryota; Metazoa; Chordata; Mammalia; Rodentia; Caviidae.
GGGGAUUUAACUGAGUGCCCCAAGUGCCUGCCUGGCAAGCAGGAAGUCAUGAAUUCAAUCUCCA